UGUAGGCUGCAACUCGCCUACACGAAGCUGGAAUCGCUAGUAAUCGCGGAUCAGCACGCCGCGGUGAAUGCGUUCCCGGGUCUUGUACACACCGCCCGUCACACCAUGGAAGUUGGGGGUGCCCAAAGCCGGCAAGCAAAUAUGCUGUCUAAGGCAAAACCAAUGACUGGGGUGAAGUCGUAACAAGGUACC
This 192-nucleotide ribosomal RNA is filed under the name uncultured bacterium. RNAcentral describes it as "partial 16S ribosomal RNA". It matches the Rfam family "Bacterial small subunit ribosomal RNA", at positions 1299 to 1500 of the family's 1533-position model. The record is from RNAcentral.